This 253-nucleotide ribosomal RNA is filed under the name uncultured bacterium. Its description in RNAcentral is "partial 16S ribosomal RNA". It matches the Rfam family "Bacterial small subunit ribosomal RNA", at positions 524 to 776 of the family's 1533-position model. The record is from RNAcentral.
UACGUAGGCAGCAAGCGUUGUUCGGAAUUACUGGGCGUAAAGAGUGUGUAGGCGGUUUGCCAAGUUUGUCGUGAAAUCUCCCGGCUUAACUGGGAGGGUGCGGCGAAAACUGGCAGGCUGGAGUAUGGGAGAGGAAAGCGGAAUUCCUGGUGUAGCGGUGAAAUGCGUAGAUAUCAGGAGGAACACCUGCGGUGUAGACGGCUUUCUGGACCAUCACUGACGCUGAGACACGAAAGCGUGGGUAGCAAACAGG